AACUUGAGUGGCGGAGGUGAGUAACACGUGAGAUCGCCUUUAGCGGGGAAUACCAUCGGAAACAAUGGCUAAUGCCCCAUAUGCUCGUAAGAGUGAAAGGAGUACCACCAAAGAGAAGCUCGCGGUGAUUAGCUAGUUGGUAAGGUAAUGGCUUACCAAGGCGACGAUCAGUAGCUGGUUUGAGAGAACGAUCAGCCACACUGGAACUGAGACACGGUCCAGACUCCUACGGGAGGCAGCAGUGGGGAAUUUUCCGCAAUGGGCGAAAGCCUGACGGAGCAAUACCGCGUGAGGGAUGAAGGCCUUUGGGUUGUAAACCUCUUUUAUCAAGGAGGAAGUUCUGACGUGUACUUGAUGAA
RNAcentral lists this ribosomal RNA (359 nucleotides) under uncultured cyanobacterium. RNAcentral's name for it is "bacterial SSU rRNA". It matches the Rfam family "Bacterial small subunit ribosomal RNA", at positions 88 to 486 of the family's 1533-position model. The record is from RNAcentral. Lineage: Bacteria; Bacillati; Cyanobacteriota.